Long non-coding RNA from Panicum virgatum (switchgrass), 1953 nucleotides. RefSeq lists it as uncharacterized. The record is from RefSeq and is a predicted model, not a curated record. The transcript has 2 exons. NCBI's taxonomy places the organism in Eukaryota, Viridiplantae, Streptophyta, Magnoliopsida, Poales, Poaceae.
GGCGGCUGCCGUCGCCGCCGCAGGAGGCCGGAGUUCUGGUGGUGGGAUUACCGCCAGAUAGCACUUGGCCCUCCUCCUGGGCUUCCUGAUCCUUUCCUCCGCCCACUCGUCCAUGUCCAUCCGCCCCCUUAUCGCCUCGGUGCGGAUGCCCGACGGAGACCAAGUGCGAGAUGUUCCUGCGCCCGUGCGGCGGCACCAACCACCGGAACGGCGACCUGCUGCCGCGCAGUGGCCACCGUGCUGCAGAACAGCCACCCAACCCUGCACCCUUGAUCGGGAGUGCCCCCAAGUAACAGUCACCGCGGCGCCCUCCCCCUCCGGCCGCCUGCAACCUACUUCGGGAGUUGAGGGAACCUGAGUUGGUGUAUGAUCUUUCUACAGACUAAGAGUGUUGAGAAGCGAGACCCUGCACUGGAUCAGUCUCCUAAAGACAAUCUGGAGUUCGCUCUCAAGAUCAACAAUCUCCAACUCCAAGACCUGCAAUUGCUCCUCCUUGCACACAACUCUCUUCUUCUGGAAUGCCUUGAACCACAUGCUAAUGGCACACAUUAUCAGAAAUUGACCGGGCACAUCAUUAAUCAAGCUAGCAGCCUGCUGGGCUUAGCAGAAGUGGUACCUGAUGCUACUGCUGCAAGAUGCGCAGCCGCUGUGCCAUUGAUGCGCGGGACUUGCGGUCCUCCCUCCGUGCAUAUGCUCUGUGUGGGUGUGGCCUCUGACAGGCGGUGCGCUGGUGCGCCUGAGGCUGCGAGCGCCCGUCCGCGACAGCCCUACCCGCCGUCCUGGCGGCAAGCGAGGUCGUUGUUGCGGACGAAGAGCGAAGCCAAGACAGGGAGCCGAGGGCCCACGCGGAGCAGGGGCGGCAACAGCAUUCCAGCGUGAGUCGCUCAGAUUUCUCACGCUUUUCAGAUGAGCUCAUGCAGCGGCGAUGCAAGAACCAGCUUCAAUUGGAUUAAAUCCGCGCGAGGAAAAGGAUGACGGAGACUGCAAACCCAUGUGCGGCGGCAGCGCGGACUCGACCGGUGUGGCAUGCCCUGGCACUUUGGCGAAGCGUGGCACGAGCAGCGGUGCAGCCGGAUUUGUUGUGGAGCUCAUCAAUGGCGCUAGUGAAGGGGAGGGGAGAGAGGGAAGUGCGGCGCCAGAGGAAGGCCUGUGCGGAGAGAUGGAAGAGGGUGAGCGGCAGGGGGAGAUCGACAUGGAAAGCGGGAUCGGAGCCCCUUGAUGGCCGCCACGGUGAGAGAGCGCAGCGAUGGAGGGACCGAGGGAGGCCGAGUGGGCUUGGUCUGCCUCAGCCUCGAGCGAUACGAAGACGAACGACGGGAACGGGAGGAGCGAGCUGUUUGAGAAGAGUCGGGAGAAUGCUAGAGCUGGACGACGCGCCGUACCGGAUGCUGACGGUACAAUUUAACUUAGCCUGAUGACGGACGGUCGAGAUUUUUGUAAUGACGUGGCCCAAUCGCUGCUGGAGUUUCCGUCCAACUUUCGUCUUGAAGAGAUAGGGAAAGAUGUUGAAGCAACUGCAUAGCCCAACCAGCAGACAGCACGAAUCAUUCUCAUGUGCGAUCAUGAUGACCUGCAACAGAAUCCACUCAACCCAAGAAGCCUCGCUGGAUGAGCUUGAUUAGGAGGCUGUCAUGUCUGCAUUGUGGGUGGCAAACUGAACUGCACGGGUGAAGGGCCAUCGAGUUUAGUAUCAGAUUCAGAUCAUGGUGACUGAAUUGACAUACAAGUUGCCUGUGGAAGAACAAGCAGCAUGUUGACUUUGCCUCACCUCCAGGCUCCAAAGACAUGUUUAACCAGCUGGUCACAGCAUUACACAACGGAUCAGUAAUAGUCUUUGUACAGUUGUAUGCAUGUUUCUGUUCUUCAUUGCAUGCUUGUUCCAUCAUCCCCACGUGUUUCUGCAAUUUCCUAGCACAUUAGGUGCACCUCUUAAAUAAAGAGAUUAUUAUCACA